GUUGGUGCCUUUAGCGAUGGGGUCCCACCUCUUCCCAUUCCGAACAGAGUCGUUAAGCCCAUCAGCGCUGAUGGUACUGAGGUUGAUGCCUCGGGAGAGUAAGUCGGUGCCAACU
RNAcentral lists this ribosomal RNA (115 nucleotides) under Bacteroidota bacterium. Lineage: Bacteria; Pseudomonadati; Bacteroidota. RNAcentral also lists the same sequence under 2 other names. The record is from RNAcentral.